UCCUAAGGCGAGGCCGAAAGGCGUAGUCGAUGGGAAACGGGUUAAUAUUCCCGUACUUCUUACAAUUGCGAUGGGGGGACGGAGAAGGCUAGGUGGGCCUGGCGACGGUUGUCCAGGUUCAAGUACGUAGGCGGAAAGUUUAGGUAAAUCCGGACUUUCAUUAACGCUGAGAUACGAUGUCGAGCUACUACGGUAGUGAAGUCAUUGAUGCCAUGCUUCCAGGAAAAGCCUCUAAGCUUCAGAUUGUAAGG
Molecule: ribosomal RNA, 251 nt
Filed under: Vibrio splendidus
Lineage: Bacteria; Pseudomonadati; Pseudomonadota; Gammaproteobacteria; Vibrionales; Vibrionaceae
Description: partial 23S ribosomal RNA
Rfam family: Bacterial large subunit ribosomal RNA
Source: RNAcentral